Long non-coding RNA from Trematomus bernacchii (emerald rockcod), 810 nucleotides. RefSeq lists it as uncharacterized. Lineage: Eukaryota; Metazoa; Chordata; Actinopteri; Perciformes; Nototheniidae. The transcript has 6 exons. The record is from RefSeq and is a predicted model, not a curated record.
CUGCAGGCUGUGUAUUUUCAUGCACGCUGAGUCGUGCGGUCUGCGAUCAUAGUAACCUGCAGAGUGGACACUGUACCGGUGCCAGAGUGACGUCUCAGCAAUAAAACAGCUUCCUGUCCGACCAGCUGUGGAACUUUGGCGACAAAAACAAGGACAACCACGGGCAGGUGGGGCUCCACCCUCAGCAGGCGGUGCAGCUCAGCUUUAGCCAGCGGGAGGCGGGUCCUGUCGGAGGAGUCCACCACGUACACCAGAACACUUUUAAGGCUUUUAUCUGGAUUCAGUCAGAGAAACGUGGGUCCCUGUGCACUGUGCAGCUCCUGAUGCGUAGAUGAGAAAAAGAUUGUCGUCGCCCACCGAUCUCUGUGUUCAGAUCAUGAAUAAGUCAGCCGCUGAGCGUGACACAUUCCUCCAAACUCAUCCACGGAAACUCAUUGUGAGACCCGCUGCAGCCCAGAGUCCCGCACUCAGACAACCUCAAUGAGGAGCCAAGUGAUUUAUUUUUAGUGCAGCGCUGUGACUUCAGUGGGAUGCUAAUUAGCAGGAUUUAUGAGAAGUCGAGCUGGCAGGCGGGGGCGUUGAGGCUCAUGAAGUUGAAGCCGCGGGUGGGCCGGCAGCGACCCCUCUUACCCGCUGCCUCCCCGGGGGUCAAACCCUGCAGCAUGCUGCUCUUCCCGGCCCCGUCCAGACCCAGGACCAGGACCUGACGCUUCCCACGCUCCUCCUUCUCCUGCAGGGAGGAAAAAGAACGGCUGCAGAUCUGCACUGCUUAGUUUCUGACAGGGAUUUAACGUCUUGCCCAAGGACACU